AGAGUUUGAUCCUGGCUCAGAACGAACGCUGGCGGCGUGCCUAAUACAUGCAAGUCGUACGAGAAAGUCCUCGGGAUGAGUAGAGUGGCGCACGGGUGAGUAAUACAUGGGAACGUACCUUUAGGUCGGGGAUAACCACGGGAAACUGUGGCUAAUACCGGAUAGUCUCGCAAGAGUAAAGAUGGCCUCUGCAUAUGCUA
This 200-nucleotide ribosomal RNA is filed under the name uncultured bacterium. RNAcentral describes it as "partial 16S ribosomal RNA". It matches the Rfam family "Bacterial small subunit ribosomal RNA", at positions 8 to 214 of the family's 1533-position model. The record is from RNAcentral.